Molecule: long non-coding RNA, 588 nt
Organism: Ictalurus punctatus (channel catfish)
Lineage: Eukaryota; Metazoa; Chordata; Actinopteri; Siluriformes; Ictaluridae
Source: Ensembl
GGGGUUUUUGUGUUUUUGUGUGGCAGCACACAUACAUUUAUAGAUUUGAUUUUAUUUCUCCUCACUGGUUUGAUUAGCGGACUGACGACAUGGCUCGAUUUAACGACUUGAUGACGGAAACGGAACGUUCAGAGACAAAUGGACAGAGAAGUACACGUUUAUUCUCCUCACGUACAAGUUCAUAUAUACACGCUGUAUAUUUUUAAUCUAUUCUAGUCAAAAGUGUUUUAUUGUAUUCAUAGCCAGACAUGUACGAUUUAAAAGGUAAACGGUUGCCAUGUUAGUCGUAAAAGAUUCGUAGUUGUAAAAGAUCUGUAAUGUAAAAGAUCCGUAGUGUAAAAGAUGCGUAGUUGUAAAAGAUUCGUAGUUGUAAAAGAUGCGUAGUUGUAAAAGAUUCGUAGUUGUAAAAGAUGCGUAGUUGUAAAAGAUCCGUAUUGUAAAAGAUGCGUAGUUGUAAAAGAUUCGUAGUUGUAAAAGAUGCGUAGUUGUAAAAGAUCCGUAGUUGUAAAAGAUUCGUAGUUGUAAAAGAUUCAUAAUUGUAAAAUAUUCGUAGUUGUAAAUAGAUCCGUAGUUGUAAAAGAUUCGUAG